UAGCUCAGUUGGUAGAGUGCUUGCCUUCCAUGCACAAGACCCUGGGUUCAAUCCCCAG
Ictidomys tridecemlineatus (thirteen-lined ground squirrel) is the source of this 58-nucleotide non-coding RNA. The record is from Rfam. NCBI's taxonomy places the organism in Eukaryota, Metazoa, Chordata, Mammalia, Rodentia, Sciuridae.